Molecule: ribosomal RNA, 572 nt
Filed under: bacterium
Lineage: Bacteria
Description: bacterial SSU rRNA
Rfam family: Bacterial small subunit ribosomal RNA
Source: RNAcentral
CGGUAGCUAAUACCGCAUAACGUCGCAAGACCAAAGAGGGGGACCUUCGGGCCUCUUGCCAUCGGAUGUGCCCAGAUGGGAUUAGCUAGUAGGUGGGGUAAAGGCUCACCUAGGCGACGAUCCCUAGCUGGUCUGAGAGGAUGACCAGCCACACUGGAACUGAGACACGGUCCAGACUCCUACGGGAGGCAGCAGUGGGGAAUAUUGCACAAUGGGCGCAAGCCUGAUGCAGCCAUGCCGCGUGUAUGAAGAAGGCCUUCGGGUUGUAAAGUACUUUCAGCGGGGAGGAAGGGAGUAAAGUUAAUACCUUUGCUCAUUGACGUUACCCGCAGAAGAAGCACCGGCUAACUCCGUGCCAGCAGCCGCGGUAAUACGGAGGGUGCAAGCGUUAAUCGGAAUUACUGGGCGUAAAGCGCACGCAGGCGGUUUGUUAAGUCAGAUGUGAAAUCCCCGGGCUCAACCUGGGAACUGCAUCUGAUACUGGCAAGCUUGAGUCUCGUAGAGGGGGGUAGAAUUCCAGGUGUAGCGGUGAAAUGCGUAGAGAUCUGGAGGAAUACCGGUGGCGAAGGCGG